This 492-nucleotide ribosomal RNA is filed under the name uncultured bacterium. Its description in RNAcentral is "partial 16S ribosomal RNA". It matches the Rfam family "Bacterial small subunit ribosomal RNA", at positions 29 to 507 of the family's 1533-position model. The record is from RNAcentral.
AGUGAACGCUGGCGGUAGGCCUAACACAUGCAAGUCGAACGGCAGCACAGUAAGAGCUUGCUCUUACGGGUGGCGAGUGGCGGACGGGUGAGGAAUACAUCGGAAUCUACUUUUUCGUGGGGGAUAACGUAGGGAAACUUACGCUAAUACCGCAUACGACCUACGGGUGAAAGCAGGGGAUCUUCGGACCUUGCGCGAUUGAAUGAGCCGAUGUCGGAUUAGCUAGUUGGCGGGGUAAAGGCCCACCAAGGCGACGAUCCGUAGCUGGUCUGAGAGGAUGAUCAGCCACACGGGAACGGAGACACGGUCCAGACUCCUACGGGAGGCAGCAGAGGGAAAUAUUGAAAAAUGGGCGCAAGCUUGACCGACCCAACCCGGGUGGGGGAAAAGGGCUUUGGGGUUAUAAGCCCUUUUUGUGGAAAAAGAAAAGCAGCAGGUUAAUCCCCCGCUGUUCUGACGGUACCAAAAAAAUAAGCACCGGCAAACUUCGUG